UACAUGGGGUGCAAACGUUGCUCGGAAUUAUUGGGCGUAAAGCGCGCGUAGGCGGUUACUCAAGUCGGGUGUGAAAGCCCUCGGCUUAACUGAGGAAGUGCACCCGAAACUGAGUAGCUAGAGUACUAAAGAGGGUCACGGAAUUCCCGGUGUAGAGGUGAAAUUCGUAGAUAUCGGGAGGAACACCGGUGGCGAAGGCGGCGACCUGGGUAGAUACUGACGCUGAGGCGCGAAAGCGUGGGGAGCAAACAGG
This 253-nucleotide ribosomal RNA is filed under the name uncultured bacterium. RNAcentral's name for it is "partial 16S ribosomal RNA". It matches the Rfam family "Bacterial small subunit ribosomal RNA", at positions 524 to 776 of the family's 1533-position model. The record is from RNAcentral.